UACGGAGGGUGCGAGCGUUAAUCGGAAUUACUGGGCGUAAAGGGUGCGUAGGUUGUUUGAUAAGUUAUCUGUAAAAUCCCCGGGCUUAACCUGGGCAGGUCAGAUAAGACUGUUGGACUUGAGUACAGGAGAGGGCAGUGGAAUUUCCGGUGUAGCGGUGAAAUGCGUAGAGAUCGGAAGGAACACCAGUGGCGAAGGCGGCUGCCUGGCCUGAUACUGACACUGAGGCACGAAAGCGUGGGGAGCAAACAGGAUUAGAUACCCUGGUAGUCCACGCUGUAAACGAUGUCAACUGGCUGUUGGCCAUAUGAAUGUGGUCAGUGGCGUAGCUAACGCGCUAAGUUGACCGCCUGGGGAGUACGAUCGCAAGAUUAAA
This 376-nucleotide ribosomal RNA is filed under the name uncultured bacterium. Its description in RNAcentral is "bacterial SSU rRNA". It matches the Rfam family "Bacterial small subunit ribosomal RNA", at positions 524 to 898 of the family's 1533-position model. The record is from RNAcentral.